UAACAGAGGGUUCGAUCUCAUGGCAUCAGUGAACGCUGGCGGGAUGCCCGCAUGCAAGUCGAACCCGGCAGCACGGACGCCGGGCUGCAGGUGGCGGAAGUGGCGAACGGGUGGUAAUGUAUCCGGAACGUGCCUAGUAGCGGGGGAUAACUACGCAGCGUAGCUAAUACAUACGCCCUUCAGGGGAAAAGCGGGGACCUUCGGGCCUCACGCACUGUAGCCGAUAUCGGAUUGGCUAGUUGGUGGGGCUGGCAGCUCACCAAGGCGACGAUCGUAGCGCAGUUGAAGGACAAGCCAGCCACACUGGGACAGGGCACGGAGGCCCAGACUUACGGGAAGGGCAGCCCGGUGGGGGUACCCGGACAAUGGGGGAAACCUGAUCCAGCAUGCAUCCCGCGUGCGAUGAAGGCCUUCGGGUUGUAAGCGCACGGCAGGAAAGAAACGGCACGGGAUAAUACCCUACAACUGACGGUACCUGCAGGGCUAAGCGCCGGCUAACUACGUGCCAGCAGCCGCGUAUUGCGUAGGGUGCAAGCGUUAAUCGGAAUUACUGGGCGUAAAGCGUGCGCGAGUUCGGAAAGAAAGAUGUGAAAUCCCAGAAGGCUUAACUUUGGAACUGCAUUUUUACCCAACUAUACCAGGCUAGGUGUCAGAGGGAGAGUGGAAUUCCGCGUGUAGCAGUGAAGAAUGCGUAGAUAUGCGGAGGAAUUUUCCGAUGGCGAGAGGGGCUGCGGCCUCACCCAGGAUAUUGCGGCGCUCCGCGAAAGCGUGGGAGCAAGCAGGAUUAGAUGCCCUGGUAGUCCGCCCUAUGACUGUUGGGGCCUUCGGGCCUUGGUAGCGCAGCUAACGCGUGAGGGUUGACCGCCUGCGGGGGGAGAAGUACGGUCGCAAGAUUAAAACUCAAAGGAAUUGACGAGGACCCACAAGCGGUGGAUGAUGUGGAUUAAUUCGAUGCAAGUAUGGAAUCCCGAAGAGAUUUGGGAGUGCUCGCAAGAAGGGAACGCCGGAACAUGAGUGCUGCAUAGCUGUCGUCAGCUCGUGUCGUGAGAUGUUGGGUUAAGAAUCCCGCAACGAGCAGCCCUUGUCAUUAGUUGCUACGAAAGGGCACUCUAAUGAGACUGCCGGUGACAAACCGGAGGAAGGUGGCGUCAGAAGUCCUCAUAACCUAUGGGUAGGGCUUCACACGUCAUACAAUGGUCGGGACAGAGGGUCGCCAACCCGCGAAAGAGGGCAAUCCCAGAAGCCCGAUCGUAGUCCGGAUCUGAUCUGCAACUCGACUGCGUGAAGUCGGAAUCGCCAAUCGCGGAUCAGCAUGUCGCGGUGAAUACGUUCCGGGUCUUGUACACACCGCCCGUCACCAUGCCAGGGGGUGUUUACCAGAAAUGUAUUAGUUAGCCCCUGUGCCGUAAGGAGGGGCGAUUUUGACGGUAGGAUUCAUGACUGGGGUGAAGUCGUAACAAGGUAG
RNAcentral lists this ribosomal RNA (1465 nucleotides) under uncultured Bordetella sp. RNAcentral describes it as "partial 16S-23S ribosomal RNA intergenic spacer". It matches the Rfam family "Bacterial small subunit ribosomal RNA". Lineage: Bacteria; Pseudomonadati; Pseudomonadota; Betaproteobacteria; Burkholderiales; Alcaligenaceae. The record is from RNAcentral.